This 1174-nucleotide ribosomal RNA is filed under the name uncultured Acidobacteriota bacterium. RNAcentral describes it as "bacterial SSU rRNA". It matches the Rfam family "Bacterial small subunit ribosomal RNA", at positions 322 to 1503 of the family's 1533-position model. The record is from RNAcentral. Lineage: Bacteria; Pseudomonadati; Acidobacteriota.
AGAGUCGGUCCAGACUCCUACGGGAGGCAGCAGUGGGGAAUCUUGCACAAUGGGCGAAAGCCUGAUGCAGCGACGCCGCGUGGGGGAUGAAGCAUUUCGGUGUGUAAACCCCUUUCGAUCCGGACGAAACCCCGCAAGGGAUUGACGGUACGGAUAUAAGAAGCCCCGGCUAACUACGUGCCAGCAGCCGCGGUAAGACGUAGGGGGCCAGCGUUGUUCGGAAUUACUGGGUGUAAAGGGUUCGUAGGCGGUGUAGCAAGUCGGGAGUGAAAUCUUUGGGCUUAACCCAGAGGCUGCUUCCGAAACUGCUGUGCUUGAGUGUGGGAGAGGCGCGUGGAAUUGCAGGUGUAGCGGUGAAAUGCGUAGAUAUCUGCAGGAACACCCGUGGCGAAAGCGGCGCGCUGGACCACUACUGACGCUGAGGAACGAAAGCUAGGGGAGCAAACAGGAUUAGAUACCCUGGUAGUCCUAGCCCUAAACGAUCAGGACUUGGGGUGCCACCCGUUCGGGUGUCGUCCCGGAGCUAACGCGUUAAGUCCUGCACCUGGGGAGUACGGUCGCAAGACUGAAACUCAAAGGAAUUGACGGGGGCCCGCACAAGCGGUGGAACACGUGGUUCAAUUCGACGCUACGCGAGGAACCUUACCUGGGCUCGAAAUGCUAGUGACCAGCUGUAGAAAUACGGCCUUCCCGCAAGGGACACUAGUAUAGGCGCUGCAUGGCUGUCGUCAGCUCGUGCCGUGAGGUGUUGGGUUAAGUCCCGCAACGAGCGCAACCCCUGCACACAGUUACUACUCGCAAGAGAGGACUCUGUGUGGACUGCUCCGGAUAACGGAGAGGAAGGUGGGGAUGACGUCAAGUCCGCAUGGCCUUUAUGUCCAGGGCUACACACGUGUUACAAUGCAGGGCACAAACCGUUGCCAACCCGCGAGGGGGAGCUAAUCGGAAAAAACUCUGCUCAGUUCGGAUUGCAGUCUGCAACUCGACUGCAUGAAGCCGGAAUCGCUAGUAAUGGCGUAUCAGAUCGACGCCGUGAAUACGUUCCCGGGCCUUGUACACACCGCCCGUCACAUCACGAAAGUGAGCUGUACUAGAAGUCGCCGCGCUGACCGCAAGGAGGCAGGCGCCCAAGGUAUGACUCAUGAUUGGGGUGAAGUCGUAACAAGGUAACCGU